Long non-coding RNA from Rosa rugosa (rugosa rose), 1974 nucleotides. RefSeq lists it as uncharacterized. The record is from RefSeq and is a predicted model, not a curated record. The transcript has 3 exons. NCBI's taxonomy places the organism in Eukaryota, Viridiplantae, Streptophyta, Magnoliopsida, Rosales, Rosaceae.
UGCUAGCGCGCCCUAGUUAUACUGAACACUCAGCCAAAUUUUAAAUUUUCACUCUUUCCCUCCAUUAAUUGGACAAAAUUUUACUUUGAUGUCAACUAGUAUUUAAAGAAACUAACCCUAGAAACCCAACACACUCUCUCUCUCUUCCUCGGCCGCACGCCCAAUUCUCGGUUCUCUCUCCCUUCCAUUUCUCCCUGCCAUCGCUGGAGACCACCAUUUCUAGCCACCAAUUCACGACACUGCCACCACCAAUCGAACCAGCACCUCAAUAUGAUCAAAACCCAAUCCCAGCACCGCCAUGCACCGACUCCUGCCUCCACAUGCGAUCCUCCAAGCAGCGACGCUGCUGCUCCCUUACCUUCAUUGAUUUCUGGCCUCCCUCUUGCAACACCUCCACCACCGCUUUGAUUCAGUAAGCUUUGAACUCUCCUUGUUGUCAAAAUCGAAGAUUCAGUUCUAAAGAUUAUGGAUUUUGAUUUGCAUUUUUGAAUUUGGAGGUCCUGUGGGUCUUGAAUGGAAAAGUUUGAGUACUGAAGCAGAGGAGAGUAGCUAUGAAUACGUGAUGGUUCAGAGGCAGAGAAAGGUAAGAACUCUAGUUUUAAAUUUUGGAUUUAGAUUAGUUGAUUUGGAUUAAAUGGAUUUCUAACCUUGAGAUUUCUGGACUUGGAGGAAAUAACGGAAUUCAGUGGAAGGAGAGCUCUUGAUUUGGACUUUGUUGAGCUCUUCUUCCUCUCUCCUUUUCUCUGUUCUCUUCCUCAGCACACUUUCUUCUUUCUAUCCUUCUUGAUCUUUAGAUUAAUUUUUGUUCAGAUUUGUUUCACUUUGUCUCUCGAUCUGUACCGUAGCUCUUAAUCUUCAUGCACCAAACGGUCGUGUUUCUUUGCUGGCCGGAAAAGGUCGGAGCUUCACCAAAUUUCCGUCAAAUCUGGCCACUUCAAUAGCAGAGAUCUACUAAUCAGUCUGCGUCUUUCAAAAUCCUCUAUAAACCCCAACAAGAAAUUUGAGCAGAUCACAAAGGCUCAGCUCGAAGUCAUUAGUUGACAGACGGUGGUUUACUCUCUCUACUCGCCAAAGCUCAAGAGAGCGUCAUGGAGGUUCAGAACUAGGUCGAGCUUGACAAUUGAUUCAUCUACAGGUACUACAUCCCUGUUUAAUAGGGCCUGGAUUUUAGUAGGGAUUUUAAUUGGGACUGGAAAUUUUCAAUUUGGGUUUGAUGGGUAUGAUUGGGAGAGUAUAAAGCUAAAAUCUUUGGUAUUGUGUAUUGGUUCUUGAUUUGUAGUAAAGCUUGUUAUGCAAUUUCAUAAAUAAAUGAAACAGGUGGUUUAUAGACUUGAUCAAGUGAGAGCCUUAGAUGAAGAGUUGCUACUGAGAAUAAAUCAGCAAGGGCUUCCUGCGAAGCCUCAGAUUCUUAUGGUGACGCAACUCAUUCCAGACUCUCUAGGGACUAAGUGCAAUGUGGAGUUGGAGGUUAUAGUCAACACUAAGCACUCCCACAUUCUCUCUAUAUUGGUCUUGGGUUUAUGUUUAUUACAACAUUUAAGCAUUGUGGGAAUUUUUAUGUGUUGUAGAGUGGGCAUGGAAAAUUGGCAAGGCAAAUGACCCUGUUGAUGGCUUUCUGUGAUUACUUGGGGAACUGUAAAAGGAUGUGGUAUCAGCUCCUAGACCGAGUUGCCCUCCUGUUAGGAGAAUGACGUACAACUACAGGAGAUGAGGAGGAUAAUGCAUUGGAAUAUGGAUUGCCAUCUUCUCACACUCUAAACACAGUUUGCUUGUCUGGGAGCAAUGGAGGCUGACUGGAAGUUACUGAUUACACACAUGGAAGGAAAGUUAGAGGAAGUUGACAAAGAGAAUGAAAAAAAUGAGAAGAGAAAGAAGAAGGAAAAGUGUGGUUAUCGCUAUGCUUUUGACCUACCUUGGAUUCUAGAAAUUCUAAUGUUUUUGGUCUUUAUGUUUAGAUAAUUAUUGUAGAUGUUG